AGAGGGUGCGAGCGUUGUCCGGAAUCACUGGGCGUAAAGGGCGCGUAGGCGGUCCGCUAAGUGUGUGGUGAAAGCUCGGGGCUCAACCCCGAGUCGGCCGUGCAAACUGGUGGACUUGAGCGUGUCAGAGGCAGGCGGAAUUCCGGGUGUAGCGGUGGAAUGCGUAGAGAUCCGGAAGAACACCGGUGGCGAAGGCGGCCUGCUGGGACAUGGCUGACGCUGAGGCGCGACAGCGUGGGGAGCAAACAGGAUUAGAUACCCUGGUAGUCCACGCCGUAAACGAUGGGCACUAGGUGCUUGGGGGAGCGACCCCCUGAGUGCCGGCGCUAACGCAUUAAGUGCCCCGCCUGGGGAGUACGGCCGCAAGGCUG
RNAcentral lists this ribosomal RNA (371 nucleotides) under uncultured bacterium. RNAcentral's name for it is "bacterial SSU rRNA". It matches the Rfam family "Bacterial small subunit ribosomal RNA", at positions 527 to 896 of the family's 1533-position model. The record is from RNAcentral.